Lathyrus oleraceus (garden pea) is the source of this 551-nucleotide long non-coding RNA. RefSeq lists it as uncharacterized. Lineage: Eukaryota; Viridiplantae; Streptophyta; Magnoliopsida; Fabales; Fabaceae. The transcript has 2 exons. The record is from RefSeq and is a predicted model, not a curated record.
CCACACUUUUAGAUAAUAGUCAGAAUUUUUCAAAAAGAAAUGCCUCCUCCUAUCACACGUCGACGCAUGGAAAAAGAAUAAAUAACAAUAAAGUAAUAAUAAAAAAUAGAAAACAUAUACACACACGUUGGAGAGAGGGACCUUCAUCCCCUUUUUCUCUUUCAAUUUGGUCUCCCCUUUUUUAAAUUUACAGCAACACAACAAAAAAUUGGAAGAAUUGAUUCAUUUUCCAUCUCCCUUCUCAGCUUUACCUCUCUCCAUCCAUAACUCACACCAAAAUUUCAAAAGUAAGACCCAUGAGCCAACAUCGGAGGGUGGCAUGGUGGCAGAUUCAUCGGAGGAAUCAGAGUCGGUGCUCAGCGGUAGUGUUGGAUGACCGGACGCGACUUCCGAUGUGGUCGCGAAUCUGCAGUUAUGGUCGGAGUAAAGCAGAAUCGCGACGACUAUGUUGGGAUGUCUUGUGCACGAAGAUUCAAAGUGUUGUUGAAGAAAUUAUCAAUUUUCAUGGUAAUGAAUGGGUGAUUGGUAUAAAGAUUUUGAUGGUUUGUGAA